Molecule: long non-coding RNA, 1007 nt
Organism: Cygnus olor (mute swan)
Lineage: Eukaryota; Metazoa; Chordata; Aves; Anseriformes; Anatidae
Exons: 4
Source: RefSeq, a predicted model, not a curated record
AGGGCUGGUUCUCUCUCCUUUCUCACCCCUCUCUCCCAGCUGCUGUUUUCAGCUUUCUUCCCUUUUUCCAUUCUGCUUUCCCCAAGGCCCAACCAGCACUGCUCCUGUCUCGGUUCUGCCCAGCAGCAGCUCCUUUUGGAUCUGGCUCUCAUCUAACAUGGGGCAGCUGCUGGGCUCUGCUCACAGAGUCACCCCUACAGUUCCCCCGCUACCAAAACCUUGCUGCAUGAGCCCAAUAGAACAUGCUAACACCAUCACUGUACUGUGACAGGGUUUGGGGAACAGUACUGUAGGAAGACUGAAAUUUUGUUUCUCAAAGGAGGCAGAACCUGUUUGGAGGGCUUUCUUCUUAGGGUCCUGUCAGUGUUUCAUCUUCAUGGGAUACGUGAGGUUCUUGAUCCUUGUGUGAUGUCAUAGGAAAGGGUUUGGGGCCUGUACACUGAAACUGCAGUUCCCAGAAGCUGGAGUCACUUCUCAUUGCAAGUACACUACCGAGAAGCACAGGUGCACAAAGUGCCGGCUGGGCUGGGAGGAAAAGAUCGAGGCUGCAGCCCUGGGCUGGAUGAGGCUGAGCUGAACAACAACGCGGUGCAGAGGAGGCAGGGGAGCUCCCUGUGUCACCUGGACCUCUCCCUGGGUUGUGUGUGCUGGGUGCUGGUCCAGGCAGCUCUGUCCCACUGGUUUGUGCGACCCCAUCGAGCUGCUGCCGCAGCCACGCAUGCUGGUGAAGCCUGCAACAACGCAGGCUGCGUGCACCGAUCAGGGGGAGCAGCCUGGGGGUAUGUCCAGGUACCCCUGCUUGCUGCUGGCUCGCAGACAAGAGCUCAGUGCGAGUGCCGUGCCGAGGAGGAUGGGCUCUCCAGGAGCUAAGAGUGGGACCUGAACUGAGAGUGCUGCAGCUUCUCUGAAACAGCAGAGUGGAAAAUAAAUCUGACCUUGUUAGCAAUGCCAGAACCUUUAUAAAGUUUGAAAAGUACAGAAAGGAUUAAAUACCUCAGAACUGCUUA